Molecule: ribosomal RNA, 427 nt
Filed under: uncultured Trebouxia photobiont
Lineage: Eukaryota; Viridiplantae; Chlorophyta; Trebouxiophyceae; Trebouxiales; Trebouxiaceae
Description: bacterial SSU rRNA
Rfam family: Bacterial small subunit ribosomal RNA
Source: RNAcentral
GAACGCAUACUUUAGAGUAUGAGUGGCAGACGGGUGAGUAACGCGUGAGACAUCUACCUUACAGCCCGGUAUAAAUAUCUAUAUAAAGGCGAAAAUCUUUAUAUAUGAGUGAAUCCCGGAUAUUUUGAAUAAAAAAAAAGGCAAAGAACCGUUGUAAGAUGAGCUCGCGUAGGAUUAGGUAGUUGGUAAGGUAAAAGCUUAUCCAAGCCGAUGAUCCUUAGCUGUUCUGAGAGGAUGAUCAGCCACACUGGGACUGAGACACGGCCCAGACGCUUUCGAGCGGCAGCAGUGAGGAAUUUUGGACAAUGGGCGAAAGCCUGAUCCAGCUAUAUCGCAUGAAUGAAGAAGGCUCAAUUGGUUGUAAAAUUCAUAGUUUCAUUGUAGAUUAUGACAUUGAUGAAAUGAAUAGUCCCGGCCAACUCCGUGC